Molecule: ribosomal RNA, 719 nt
Filed under: uncultured bacterium
Lineage: Bacteria
Description: bacterial SSU rRNA
Rfam family: Bacterial small subunit ribosomal RNA
Source: RNAcentral
AGAGUUUGAUCAUGGCUCAGAGUGAACGCUGGCGGUAGGCCUAACACAUGCAAGUCGAACGGCAGCACAGGAGAGCUUGCUCUCUGGGUGGCGAGUGGCGGACGGGUGAGGAAUACAUCGGAAUCUACUCUGUCGUGGGGGAUAACGUAGGGAAACUUACGCUAAUACCGCAUACGACCUACGGGUGAAAGUGGGGGACCGCAAGGCCUCACGCGAUAGAAUGAGCCGAUGUCGGAUUAGCUAGUUGGCGGGGUAAAGGCCCACCAAGGCGACGAUCCGUAGCUGGUCUGAGAGGAUGAUCAGCCACACUGGAACUGAGACACGGUCCAGACUCCUACGGGAGGCAGCAGUGGGGAAUAUUGGACAAUGGGCGCAAGCCUGAUCCAGCCAUACCGCGUGAGUGAAGAAGGCCCUCGGGUUGUAAAGCUCUUUUGUUGGGAAAGAAAUCCUGUUGGCUAAUACCCGGCAGGGAUGACGGUACCCAAAGAAUAAGCACCGGCUAACUUCGUGCCAGCAGCCGCGGUAAUACGAAGGGUGCAAGCGUUACUCGGAAUUACUGGGCGUAAAGCGUGCGUAGGUGGUGGUUUAAGUCUGUUGUGAAAGCCCUGGGCUCAACCUGGGAAUUGCAGUGGAUACUGGAUCACUAGAGUGUGGUAGAGGGUGGCGGAAUUCCCGGUGUAGCAGUGAAAUGCGUAGAGAUCGGGAGGAACAUCCGUGGC